AGAGUUUGAUCAUGGCUCAGAUUGAACGCUGGCGGAAUGCUUUACACAUGUAAGUCGAACGGCAGCACGGGGGCAACCCUGGUGGCGAGUGGCGAACGGGUGAGUAACAUAUCGGAACAUACCCUAGAGUGGGGGAUAACGUAGCGAAAGUUACGCUAAUACCGCAUACGAUCUAAGGAUGAAAGUGGGGGAUCUUCGGACCUCAUGCUCAUGGAGUGGCCGAUAUCUGAUUAGCUAGUUGGUGAGGUAAAGGCUCACCAAGGCGACGAUCAGUAGCUGGUUUGAGAGAACGACCAGCCACACUGGAACUGAGACACGGUCCAGACUCCUACGGGAGGCAGCAGUGGGGAAUUUUGGACAAUGGGGGCAACCCUGAUCCAGCAAUGCCGCGUGAGUGAAGAAGGCCUUCGGGUUGUAAAGCUCUUUUGUCAGGGAAGAAACGGUGAGUUCUAAUACAGCUUGCUAAUGACGGUACCUGAAGAAUAAGCACCGGCUAACUACGUG
Molecule: ribosomal RNA, 504 nt
Filed under: uncultured bacterium
Lineage: Bacteria
Description: bacterial SSU rRNA
Rfam family: Bacterial small subunit ribosomal RNA
Source: RNAcentral